Molecule: long non-coding RNA, 1042 nt
Filed under: Homo sapiens (human)
Lineage: Eukaryota; Metazoa; Chordata; Mammalia; Primates; Hominidae
Description: non-protein coding lnc-HPS6-3:1
Source: RNAcentral
GUUCUUUACAUAUCAGUUGGAGACACUAAUAGGAUUUUUAGGGGUUGCUAAAAUCAGUCUCUUUAUUUUUAUUUUAGUUAGUUAUUUUAGAGACAGGGUCUUGCUCUGUCACCUAGGCUAUGGUGCAGUGGUGUGAUGAUAGCUCAUUGCAACCUCGAACUCCUAGGCUCAAGCAAUUCUCCUGCUUCAGCCUCCCAAGUAGCUGGGACUAUAAGCACUUGCCACUAUGCCAAGCUAAUUUUUAUUUUGUGUAGAAACAGGAUCUUAUCAUGUUGCCCAGGCUGCUCUCAAACAUCUGGCUUCAAAUGAUCCUUCCACCUCAGCCUCCCAAAGUGCUGGGAUUAUAGGCAUGGGUGACCACACGCGGCUUUUUUUUUUUUUUUUUUUUUUUUUUUUUUGGUGGGGGUGGGGUGUCUUUUUUAAUUGAAAAGCUAACAAAUUUUCCAAGUCCAUUUCUCCAAAAAAACCCACAAACUGUGUAGUAACUGAGUCUCUCAGCAAUAUACUCAAAGCUAAGAGGAUUUUUUUUUAAAGUCCUCAGAUGCAGUUAAGGAAAGCCCUGCUACAUACAGGUUAAUCAAUAUCAGUAAUACCCCUUGACUCUAGGAGGCUGGAAGAUAUCCUAGUAACCCCACUCACAUCAAUUGUUUCAAGUAGCCUUUUUCCAGUUUCCAACUCAUGAGUAAAGAUAAUAUUUUGUGGCUAGGUGUGGUGGCUCACACCUGUCAUCUUAGCACUUUGGGAGGUGAAAGUGGGCAGAUCACUUGAGCCCAGGAGUUCAAGACCAGCCUGGGCAACAUGGCAAAACCCUAUCUGAACAAAAAUUACAAAAUUUCGGCAGUUGUGGUGGUGUGCACCUGUAGUCCCAGCUACUCGGGAGGAUGAGGUGGGAGGAUCAUCUGAGCCCAGGAGGUCGAGGCUACAGUGAGCCAAGAUGGUGCCAUUACACUCCAGCCUGAGUGACAGAGUGAGUCCCUGUCUCGAAAAAAAAAAAAAAAAAAAGGCCAGGUGGCUCACACCUGUAAUCCCAGCACUUUGGGAG